GACGAACGCUGGCGGCGUGCUUAACACAUGCAAGUCGAACGGAAAGGCCCUGCUUUUGUGGGGUGCUCGAGUGGCGAACGGGUGAGUAACACGUGAGUCUCCUGCCCUUGACUUUGGAAUAACUUCAGGAAACUGGGGAUAAUACCGGAUAGGAGCUCCUGCUGCAUGGUGGGGGUUGGAAAGUUUCGGCGGUGGGGGAUGGACUCGCGGCUUAUCAGCUGGUUGGUGGGGUAGUGGCUUACCAAGGCUUUGACGGGUAGCCGGCCUGAGAGGUCGGCCGGCCUCAAUAGGACUGAGAGACGGACCAGACUCCUACGGGAGGCAGUAGUGGGGAAUAUUGCACAGUGGGCGGAAGCCUGAUGCGGAAACGCCGCGUGCGGGAUGACGGCCUUCGGGUUGUAAACCGCUGUCGCCUGUGACGAAGCGUGAGUGACGGUAAUGGGUAAAGAAGCACCGGCUAACUACGUG
This 468-nucleotide ribosomal RNA is filed under the name uncultured bacterium. Its description in RNAcentral is "partial 16S ribosomal RNA". It matches the Rfam family "Bacterial small subunit ribosomal RNA", at positions 28 to 507 of the family's 1533-position model. The record is from RNAcentral.